GACGAACGCUGGCGGCGUGCUUAACACAUGCAAGUCGAACGGAAAGGCCCUGCUUUUGUGGGGUGCUCGAGUGGCGAACGGGUGAGUAACACGUGAGUAACCUGCCCUUGACUUUGGGAUAACUUCAGGAAACUGGGGCUAAUACCGGAUAGGAGCUCCUGCUGCAUGGUGGGGGUUGGAAAGUUUCGGCGGUUGGGGAUGGACUCGCGGCUUAUCAGCUUGUUGGUGGGGUAGUGGCUUACCAAGGCUUUGACGGGUAGCCGGCCUGAGAGGGUGACCGGCCACAUUGGGACUGAGAUACGGCCCAGACUCCUACGGGAGGCAGCAGUGGGGAAUAUUGCACAAUGGGCGGAAGCCUGAUGCAGCAACGCCGCGUGCGGGAUGACGGCCUUCGGGUUGUAAACCGCUUUCGCCUGUGACGAAGCGUGAGUGACGGUAAUGGGUAAAGAAGCACCGGCUAAUUACGUGCCAGCAGCCGCGGUGAUACGUAGGGUGCGAGCGUUGUCCGGAUUUAUUGGGCGUAAAGGGCUCGUAGGUGGUUGAUCGCGUCGGAAGUGUAAUCUUGGGGCUUAACCCUGAGCGUGCUUUCGAUACGGGUUGACUUGAGGAAAGGGUAGGGGAGAAUGGAAUUCCUGGUGGAGCGGUGGAAUGCGCAGAUAUCAGGAGGAACACCAGUGGCGAAGGCGGUUCUCUGGGCCUUUCCUGACGCUGAGGAGCGAAAGCGUGGGGAGCGAACAGGCUUAGAUACCCUGGUAGUCCACGCUGUAAACGGUGGGUACUAGGUGUGGGGUCCAUUCCACGGGUUCCGUGCCGUAGCUAACGCUUUAAGUACCCCGCCUGGGGAGUACGGCCGCAAGGCUAAAACUCAAAGGAAUUGACGGGGCCCCGCACAAGCGGCGGAGCAUGCGGAUUAAUUCGAUGCAACGCGUAGAACCUUACCUGGGUUUGACAUGGAUCGGGAGUGCUCAGAGAUGGGUGUGCCUCUUUUGGGGUCGGUUCACAGGUGGUGCAUGCCUGUCGUCAGCUCGUGUCGUGAGAUGUUGGGUUAAGUCCCGCAACGAGCGCAACCCUUGUUCACUGUUGCCAGCACGUUAUGGUGGGGACUCAGUGGAGACCGCCGGGGUCAACUCGGAGGAAGGUGGGGAUGACGUCAAGUCAUCAUGCCCCUUAUGUCCAGGGCUUCACGCAUGCUACAAUGGCUGGUACAGAGAGUGGCGAGCCUGUGAGGGUGAGCGAAUCUCGGAAAGCCGGUCUCAGUUCGGAUUGGGGUCUGCAACUCGACCUCAUGAAGUCGGAGUCGCUAGUAAUCGCAGAUCAGCAACGCUGCGGUGAAUACGUUCCCGGG
This 1345-nucleotide ribosomal RNA is filed under the name uncultured bacterium. RNAcentral's name for it is "16S ribosomal RNA". It matches the Rfam family "Bacterial small subunit ribosomal RNA", at positions 28 to 1378 of the family's 1533-position model. The record is from RNAcentral.